GUCUAAGGCCACGCCACCCCGAACACGUCCGAUCCCGUCUGAUCUCAGAAGCUCAGCAGGGUCGGGCCUGGUGAGUCCUUGGAUGGGAGACCACCUAGGAAGACCGGGUGCUAUAGGCA
Molecule: ribosomal RNA, 119 nt
Organism: Pteropus vampyrus (large flying fox)
Lineage: Eukaryota; Metazoa; Chordata; Mammalia; Chiroptera; Pteropodidae
Source: Ensembl